AAUGGUGUGUCUGUAUAUCGUUACAUCAAUUCAACCAAGAAUCCUGUUGCUUACAUUACUCGUGCAACCACAAAACUUGGAACAAAGCCAGCUCCCUUCAUGACAGCUUUUUCAUCAAAGGGACCCAAUAAAGUAACCCCAGAGAUACUUAAGCCUGAUAUCAUAGCUCCAGGAGUGAGUGUU
Molecule: long non-coding RNA, 183 nt
Organism: Pistacia vera
Lineage: Eukaryota; Viridiplantae; Streptophyta; Magnoliopsida; Sapindales; Anacardiaceae
Exons: 3
Source: RefSeq, a predicted model, not a curated record